This 83-nucleotide transfer RNA is filed under the name compost metagenome. RNAcentral's name for it is "tRNA-Gly". The record is from RNAcentral.
UGGCCGGUCGGUUCGGACGAGCCCUCGUGCUGCCAGCGCGGGCUGUCCCCGGCCUCCUGCGGGUCGAGCCCGUAAUCGACCAU